GAUGAACGCUGGCGGCGUGCUUAACACAUGCAAGUCGAACGGAAAGGCCCAAGCUUGCUUGGGUACUCGAGUGGCGAACGGGUGAGUAACACGUGGGUGAUCUGCCCUUCACUUCGGGAUAAGCCUGGGAAACUGGGUCUAAUACCGGAUAGGACCACAUUUUGGAUGGUGUGGUGGAAAGUUUUUCGGUGUGGGGUGAGCUCGCGGCCUAUCAUCUUGUUGUUGGGGUGAUGGCGUACCAAGGCGUCUACGGGUGGCCGGCCUGAGAGGGUGUACGGCCCCAUUGGGGCUGGGAUACGGCCCAGAGUCCUAUGGGAGGCAGAAGUGGGGAAUAUUGCACAAUGGGCGCAAGACUGAGGCAGAGAAGCCGCGUGGGGGAUGACGGCCUCUGCGUUGUAAAAUCCUUUCGCUCGGGAAGAAGAGUUUUUGUGACGGUACCUGGAGAAGAAGCACCGGCUAACUACGUG
Molecule: ribosomal RNA, 467 nt
Filed under: uncultured bacterium
Lineage: Bacteria
Description: partial 16S ribosomal RNA
Rfam family: Bacterial small subunit ribosomal RNA
Source: RNAcentral